GCUUAACGCGAAGAACCUUACCUACUCUUGACAUCCAGAGAACUUAGCAGAGAUGCUUUGGUGCCUUCGGGAACUCUGAGACAGGUGCUGCAUGGCUGUCGUCAGCUCGUGUUGUGAAAUGUUGGGUUAAGUCCCGCAACGAGCGCAACCCUUAUCCUUUGUUGCCAGCGAUUCGGUCGGGAACUCAAAGGAGACUGCCAGUGAUAAACUGGAGGAAGGUGGGGAUGACGUCAAGUCAUCAUGGCCCUUACGAGUAGGGCUACACACGUGCUACAAUGGCAUAUACAAAGAGAAGCGACCUCGCGGGAGCAAGCGGACCUCAUAAAGUAUGUCGUAGUCCGGAUUGGAGUCUGCAACUCGACUCCAUGAAGUCGGAAUCGCUAGUAAUCGUGGAUCAGAAUGCCACGGUGAAUACGUUCCCG
This 422-nucleotide ribosomal RNA is filed under the name uncultured bacterium. RNAcentral's name for it is "bacterial SSU rRNA". It matches the Rfam family "Bacterial small subunit ribosomal RNA", at positions 954 to 1376 of the family's 1533-position model. The record is from RNAcentral.